This 448-nucleotide ribosomal RNA is filed under the name uncultured bacterium. Its description in RNAcentral is "bacterial SSU rRNA". It matches the Rfam family "Bacterial small subunit ribosomal RNA", at positions 355 to 796 of the family's 1533-position model. The record is from RNAcentral.
UCGAGGAUUUUUCUCAAUGGGGGAAACCCUGAAGGAGCGACGCCGCGUGAGGGAUGAAGGUCUUCGGAUUGUAAACCUCUGUCAUCUGGGAACAAAGUGCUCCACCUAACACGUGGAGUAUUGAUAGUACCGGAAGAGGAAGCAGUGGCUAACUCUGUGCCAGCAGCCGCGGUAAUACAGAGACUGCAAGCGUUGUUCGGAUUCAUUGGGCGUAAAGGGUGCGCAGGCGGAUCGUUAAGUCGGAUGUGAAAUCUCACAGCCUAACUGUGAUAGGUCAUUCGAAACUGGCGGACUCGAGGAUUGGAGAGGAGACUGGAAUAGUCGGUGUAGCGGUGAAAUGCGUAGAGAUCGACUAGAACACCGGUGGCGAAGGCGAGUCUCUGGACAAUUCCUGACGCUCAGGCACGAAAGCCAGGGGAGCAAACGGGAUUAGAUACCCGGGUAGUCC